UACAGAGGGGGCAAGCGUUGUUCGGAAUUACUGGGCGUAAAGGGCGCGUAGGCGGCCUGUUAAGUCGAACGUGAAAUCCCUGGGCUCAACCCAGGAACUGCGUCCGAUACUGGCAGGCUUGAAUUCGGGAGAGGGAUGCGGAAUUCCAGGUGUAGCGGUGAAAUGCGUAGAUAUCUGGAGGAACACCGGUGGCGAAGGCGGCAUCCUGGACCGAGAUUGGCGCUGAGGCGCGAAAGCCAGGGGAGCAAACGGG
RNAcentral lists this ribosomal RNA (253 nucleotides) under uncultured bacterium. RNAcentral describes it as "partial 16S ribosomal RNA". It matches the Rfam family "Bacterial small subunit ribosomal RNA", at positions 524 to 776 of the family's 1533-position model. The record is from RNAcentral.